RNAcentral lists this ribosomal RNA (446 nucleotides) under uncultured bacterium. RNAcentral describes it as "bacterial SSU rRNA". It matches the Rfam family "Bacterial small subunit ribosomal RNA", at positions 28 to 507 of the family's 1533-position model. The record is from RNAcentral.
GAUGAACGCUGGCGGUAUGCCUAACACAUGCAAGUCGUACGAGAGUUUUUAACUCUAGUGGCGGACGGGUGAGUAACACGUGAGAAUUUACCUUUAGGAGGGGGAUAACAAUUGGAAACGAAUGCUAAUACCCCAUGUGCUUUUGAGUGAAAUGGAUUUAUAAUUAUCCGCCUAGAGAGAAGCUCGCGGCUGAUUAGCUUGUUGGUAAGGUAAGAGCUUACCAAGGCGACGAUCAGUAUCUGGUUUGAGAGGACGAUCAGACACACUGGAACUGAGACACGGUCCAGACUCCUACGGGAGGCAGCAGUGGGGAAUUUUCCGCAAUGGGCGAAAGCCUGACGGAGCAAUACCGCGUGAGGGAAGAAUGCCUAUGGGUUGUAAACCUCUUUUUUCAGGGAGGAAUAAAAUGACGUGUACCUGAAGAAUAAGCAUCGGCUAACUCCGUG